UGAGGAAUAUUGGUCAAUGGGCGAGAGCCUGAACCAGCCAAGUCGCGUGAAGGAAGAAGGUUCUAUGGAUUGUAAACUUCUUUUGUAAGGGAAUAAAAAGAGCUACGUGUAGCUUAUUGUAUGUACUUUACGAAUAAGGAUCGGCUAACUCCGUGCCAGCAGCCGCGGUAAUACGGAGGAUCCAAGCGUUAUCCGGAUUUAUUGGGUUUAAAGGGUGCGUAGGCGGACCCGUUAGUCAGUGGUGAAAGUUUGCAGCUCAACUGUAAAAUUGCCAUUGAAACUGCGGGUCUUGAGUGUAAAUAAGGUAGGCGGAAUGUGUUGUGUAGCGGUGAAAUGCUUAGAUAUAACACAGAACACCAAUUGCGAAGGCAGCUUACUGGGAUACAACUGACGCUGAGGCACGAAAGCGUGGGGAUCAAACAGG
RNAcentral lists this ribosomal RNA (424 nucleotides) under uncultured prokaryote. RNAcentral describes it as "bacterial SSU rRNA". It matches the Rfam family "Bacterial small subunit ribosomal RNA", at positions 355 to 776 of the family's 1533-position model. RNAcentral also lists the same sequence under 1 other name. The record is from RNAcentral.